RNAcentral lists this transfer RNA (71 nucleotides) under Candidatus Beckwithbacteria bacterium CG23_combo_of_CG06-09_8_20_14_all_34_8. RNAcentral's name for it is "tRNA-Pro". It matches the Rfam family "tRNA". From Rfam's summary of the family: Transfer RNA (tRNA) molecules are approximately 80 nucleotides in length. Lineage: Bacteria; Candidatus Beckwithiibacteriota. The record is from RNAcentral.
CGGGGUAUAGUCAAGUGGUAUGAUACGCGGUUUGGGACCGUGUGGCGUCAGUUCGAUUCUGACUACCCCGA